CACGUAGGGUGCGAGCGUUGUCCGGAAUUAUUGGGCGUAAAGAGCUCGUAGGCGGUCUGUCGCGUCGGAUGUGAAAUCCCAGGGCUCAACCCUGGGCCUGCAUUCGAUACGGGCAGACUAGAGUUCGGUAGGGGAGACUGGAAUUCCUGGUGUAGCGGUGAAAUGCGCAGAUAUCAGGAGGAACACCGGUGGCGAAGGCGGGUCUCUGGGCCGAAACUGACGCUGAGGAGCGAAAGCGUGGGGAGCAAACAGG
RNAcentral lists this ribosomal RNA (253 nucleotides) under uncultured bacterium. RNAcentral's name for it is "partial 16S ribosomal RNA". It matches the Rfam family "Bacterial small subunit ribosomal RNA", at positions 524 to 776 of the family's 1533-position model. The record is from RNAcentral.